CUCAGGGAGGUAGUGACAAGAAAUAACAACACUGGAAAUUUUAUUUCUAGUGAUUGGAAUGAUGGGAAUUUAAACCCCUUUCAGAGUAACAAUUGGAGGGCAAGUCUGGUGCCAGCAGCCGCGGUAAUUCCAGCUCCAAUAGCGUAUAUUAAAGUUGUUGCAGUUAAAAAGCUCGUAGUUGGAUGUCUGCUGGAAGCAAUCAGUCCGCCCUAUUUGUAGGGUGUGCACUUGAUGAAUUCUGGCAUCUAUGUCCUAAUGUGAUAGAUACGGCGGUGUAUAUGGGUUAAUCCUAUAUACCCGUUUUUGUAUAUUAUAUUGGGAUAAUACCGUUACUUUGAGAAAAUUAGAGUGUUUGAAGCAGGCUAAUUGCCUUGAAUACUGCAGCAUGGAAUAACAAUAUAGGAUUUCGGUUCUAUUUUGUUGGUUUCUAGGACUGAAAUAAUGAUUAAUAGGGACAGUUGGGGGCAUUCGUACUUAACUGUCAGAGGUGAAAUUCUUAGAUUUGUUAAAGACGAACUACUGCGAAAGCAUUUGCCAAAGAUGUUUUCAUUAAUCAAGAACGAAAGUUAGGGGCUCGAAGACGAUCAGAUACCGUCGUAGUCUUAACCAUAAACUAUGCCGACUAGAGAUAGGAAAAUGUCAUUUUUCUGACUU
Molecule: ribosomal RNA, 654 nt
Filed under: Sarcocystis hjorti
Lineage: Eukaryota; Apicomplexa; Conoidasida; Eucoccidiorida; Sarcocystidae
Description: SSU rRNA
Rfam family: Eukaryotic small subunit ribosomal RNA
Source: RNAcentral